CAUCAUGUGGAAGAUGGAGUUCCACAAAUUCAAUGCAAUGAGAAUAUUUUUGGGAGAGUUUAGGCUUGAUGGAGCUGAGAUUUACAGGCGUGGAACAAAUAAAGAUGUGAAAAUUUCUCUUGGUGGUCAGCUUCUUGGCUAGCUCUAGGUAGGGAGAUAUAUGGCCGUGAGCUAGCCAUGGAAGCAUAAGAAUAGUAAGUUUUCUUUGGUCAGAGUAAACCAUAUUUUGUUUUCCUUUCACUCUUUUGCUUGAGGUUGCUCGAUUAUAGGCUUAUUGGUAGUUUUUUUGUAGCUAGCUCUAUGCAUAUAUAUAUAUAUAUACACACACAUUCAUGGGAAAAGAGGCUUGGGGAUGGGAAAUCAAUUGAUUUCCUAUGUUUGGUAAAGUUCGGGUAUGAGAAAUCGUUGCUUUGCACAUGAGAAAGUAGAGGGGAAAGUGAAGCCCUCCUCCUUCCUUAGGUUUUGUUUUCCUCCUCAUGGGAAAGUUUGGGAAAAUGAGCUAAUAUUAAAUACAUAUUUUUCAUGACCAUAUUAUCCCCAUUAAUAAUUUAGAAUUACAUAAAUGCAUUCUAUUUUUAUUUGAUUUCAUAUGGGUAUAAUUGAAAAAUUAAACAAAUUUUGUUUUACAUUCCUACACAAACCAAACAUGUGAAAGGAAAUAAAGUGGUAUUUCUUGGUUACUUUCCCAAGAUUACCAAACAUAGGAAAGGAAUCUCUAUUUCCCAUCCCUUAGAAAAUGACUUGGAAAGUAAUUUCUCCUCAAAUUCGUUCCGUGAACCAAACGGAACCUGCAUAAUAGAAGUUCCAAAAAAACACGUGAUGAUUGGAUCAUGCAUAUGUAAGUUCCCGAGUGAUGAUUGGAACAAGUUCCUAAUGAUAAAGACUCGAAACAAGAAUAGUUUAAACUUUCUUCUUUGUUUGGCUUGAUAUAAGACGAAUGCACCAAACAAACCGACUAAUUGCUGGCACAAUAUAAAUUGGGGCUACAAUUACCUAAUAAUUAGGUACUAAGGGCUACAAUUACCUAAUAAUAUCAACUUUCAUUAUACAGAUUUGAGAAACAAAAAGUUCAACUUUGAUGACAAGCGAUAUUAAAGGAGGGCGUAAUCAAACUUAGGAUCUUGAGUGUAGAAAUAAAUACUUUUAACAACUUGAGCUACAAGCCUUUUGUAAUAUUAAUGAUAUUUUAAUUAUACGUUUGAAUAGUUCGCUUCCUUCUCUUUUAUUUUCAUUUGUUUAUAUUUAACUCUAAUUUUAUUUAUAUUUUUGGUCAAGGUAAAAAGACUUUGAAUCUCUCUCCAAUGAUUUUCACAGCCGAAACUCCUUUAGUUUCCACAAAUAUUUUUUAAUAUUUCAUGCAUUUGUAAGUUUCCGACUCGGAUGGUUCAUGUAACCAAGAAGUUUAAACUUGUUUUUGCUUGUUCCGCCGACGAAAGCGCAACAAAAGGACAAACUACAACCAAUACUUCUAGUAUCACCAGUUCUCAUUGAAUUUGUUGCCGUGAAUGUUUAGGAUUCUGCCCAAACUAGUAUUUGCGUUUCUGAAUUGUUUGAAAACACAUAUGAAAUUAUGAUUUCUCCUCCCCAGAAGACAAAUUGACGAAGAAGUAUCAUGAUUUUGAUGACACAAAUUAGAAUCCAGGGUUUUCGAAGUGCCUAAUGGACAACUAUUAAUUUAGAAAUAUAUAUAUUUUUUUCGCAAUGCAGAAACACAUAAAUCCCAAGUUUGAAUUCAUCCUAUUUUUGUUUUUGUUUUUUCCUUUUUUAACCCAGAAGAAAAAUUGAGUGCCACUCUGCUAUGUAGAAUGCAAGUUUUAGUUUAGAUUUUUUUUUCUUUUUAGUCUCUUAUUCUACAUUUAGAUCUCAUAUAUUUACUCGCAUUUUAUUAAAUCUAAGUCAUUCAAACAAUCUGACCACUUAACAAAUUACAAGUACUCAAACUUAAAAUCAGAUUGGAUGGACAUGAGGCUUACACUGAUGAUUCUACACGUGCUGAGAAUAGUCCUUUUAUUUCUUUAUUAUUUUCUUGGUCGGGACUCGAGAGACAGGUGUAGUGUAGCGAUGGAGACGAGGCCCGCAAGACAUAAAAGUCUGAAGAAGAGAAGCGUGAAAGCUUCAUUUAGACAGUUAAGUGCAUACGUAACGUAAAGAUUCAAAGACUAUGUCCCUCUCCAAACAGGGAAAGAUCUGAGUUGAAAGCAACAAACUACAGUCACAAUAGGAAAGCAUCUACAACGUAAAGAAAAUAAGUUUACCAGAAGCAUCGGAAAGAUCUAGAGUCUGAAGAAGAGAUACUGAAGUAAUUGUUCAUCGACUGAGCUUAAAUGAAAUAUUAACUCUUUGUUGUGCCAUAAGCACAAGAUCUUAAGAAAAAAAUUCAAGAUAAACCAUAUAAUAUUUUCUAACCCACAAAAUAAUAUAGAAAAUAAAUGCAAGAACAAGAGAAUAGCAAGACACAACGAGGCUGCUUACAAUCAGUGUAAAUGAGCAAACAAAUUCACCAUCAACAAAUUAGCAUGCUUAUGAAGUGUUUUGCAACCUCACAAACCAAGGCGCCAUAUACACCAAAUGACUCUCACUGAAAAACUAAACAAAGAAACACACUCACACUAAUGAAAGCAACGUUACAAGGUAGGAGAUUGAAUAUUACAUUUACAAUACACUCAUAAGUUACAAAAACUAAUUACAAAUAUUUAGCGCAUAGGUUACAUAGAACUGAAAGGGUGGAAUGAUAAGAGCUAUGGUGGUCAUCCACCAACUCAUGCAUUUACAACACCGCCUCUUGAAUGUCCACCAUACAAUACAAUGAUAUAGUUGCGUCAUUAAACACUUUGCUUGAAAAACUAUAUGGGACAAAACUUAGGCUACGGGAAAAAGAGUGCAACACAAAUAAUAUUGAUAUCACAUUUGUCUCUCCUACGGAAUGAGCUUUGGUGAUGUUUGUAUAAAAAUUGCGUACAAACCAUUAUUGGAAGAUUGGGCUAGAGUGGGCUUUACCCUAGUGUUGACUUUGGAAAGAGACAAAUUAGGCUUAGUUGUGUAAAUUCAAUCCAAAAAAAAAUUAAAUAAUAGCCCACAUCUACAGCCAAAUACUUUAAUACUUUAAUUACUAAAGUUUUUUUUUCUUUCUCUCUCUUCUUUGGUUUAUUCAGCUUUUGAUUUGGCUCAAAUAAUGUUUAUAUCUCUCUUUGAUUUUGUUUUUUCAAAUUUAUUGAUGUUGCUUCUUUUGAAAAUUUUGAAAUAUGGACCCUCCCUAACUAAACCACUCCAUUGAGCAAAAGCCCUUGAGCUUCAAAUUUAUCUUCGUCUGAGCCUCUGAAUUUUGGUUUUUUUUAGGUUUUUUUUGUUUGUUGUAGGUUUCUUUGUUCACAUAUCUCUCUAAAAAUAGUAUUUUUCUUAAUGAAUUCUGAAAAUAGUUUUUAAUUUGAAGGAAAUAUACGGAAUUAGUAAAAAAGUAUACCACUUUCAUUAAUCUGAAGGAAAUAUUGCUUUAUAUAUAUUUGUUUAAAAAUAGGGCUUAUAAUUGAUCUCAAAAAAAAAAAAAAAACAAAUAGCCCACCCCUGUAAAUAUUCCUUAGUCCGCCAUUGCAUGGCAUAAUAUUUGGUAUGCUAUGCUAGCAUCUCAUAAGCUCUUCAAGAGACCUGAAUUUUAUGAUAACUUCUUAAAAAAUUUGAAUACAUUUCAACGAUAUUAAACUUGAAUUUGAACUCAUAAUUCAAUCAAAGUACUCAUUGAGGCAAUUUAGAUCAUUUUCAUUUUAAAAAAAUUGGGUGCACACAUUGAGCUUCAUGCUCUUUACCUUCUUAGAGAUUUUAUUUGAGGAAUUUAUAUUGCAUCACAUAUUACAUCUCUUAGGAUUUGUUCUUAUUAUGUAUUCUUUAAGAGAUCUAUUCUUGCAAUAUGCUUCAAACACUUCAUAAUCUUUAUGAAUUUUUCAUGUAGAUUUAAGGUCUCCAUGAAUAUUGAGAUUGAAACAAGGAGUAAAAGAGUUAAAAGUUUAAGAAAUUUUUUCCCUGAUUAUUUUGUAAUUAUAAUGUUGGUGAAAAUCCAAUUUCCUUUCUAGAAUUUGUGAAAUUUGUUAUUUGGCUAAGCUAAAAGUAUAAUUUUGACAAUAAAAAGCAUAUGAAAGUUUCUCUUUGGUUGGCUUCUUGGCUAGCUCUAGGAACGGACAGUGUGGCCAUGAGAUAACCAUGGAAGUAUAAUAAGAAUGCUUGGAUGCUGUGAACAAUCCAUUUUCUGACUCUUUUUCUUGAGGUGGUUGUUUUCUUAUGGCCCAUCAGAGUUUAUGGUCGACAGAUAAGCUUCAAACACAUGCAUUGGUCGUGUCAGUUGCGAUAAACUCUUCCCAACAAUCAACAAUUUCUAAGGUAAUAUCAUCAUUCAAUCAUGUGCUGAAUUUAGAAUUGUUUUCAAAUCAAGGAUUUGUUUUGGAACUCAGAUUUUAAAACAAUUAAAAUUUAAUUGGGAAGACUUUUUGUUUAAAGGAAGUUCGUUUCAAUUCAAAAAAUAAUUUUUCAGUUUUUCAACUCAAAAGUCUUCUCAGUUUUCUUAUUUUUCUUAUUGGCGAGUUUCUUGGUUAACUCUAGGAAGGGAGAUAUGUGGCCAUGAGCUAACCAUGGAAGCAUAAGAACGCUGACCAUGCUUGGAUUUUGAGAAGACUUCCUCUUUUUUUUUUCCCUGACUCUUCUUCUUGAGGCGGUGGUUGGCUUAUGGCCUCAUAAUAGUUUGGUGUUUUUGGAGAUCAUAUGGUGAUGAUCUGAUGGAGAUGAGUCAUAGUUUGUGCUAGUGCAUACGUAAUUCCAAUUUCCUGAUUCAGAUGGGAUAAACUCUUCCAACAAAUUAAGACUCUUAUCAUGCAUACACAUAAGAAGUGGAAAUUUGCUUCUGUCUUAGUUUGGCCUUGAUAUAGGACAGCUCAUAGGAAAGCAUCCAAAACAAUAUUCUUUUUAUUUUUUUUAUUUGAAUACAAGCGAUAUUAGGAGUGUGGGGAUUUGAACACAUGAUUUAGGGUACAGGGUAAUGCUCUUAACUAUAUGAGUUACAAGUCCCUUGCAAACAGUCUGAAAUACUAAAAAUAAAAAAUAGAUGCUCAUCCAUAUGCACUGUCAUGCCCCAACCCUUGGAUUUACAAAACCUUGUGUUAAGACGUGAUUCACACCUUAAUUAUAGAAUUUAAUAAAAACUAUAACUAAAAUGUGAAGAAAACAUUUAAAUAAAUAAAAUAAAUAUUUCACAUAGAAUAUUCAGUGGAAAUGACAACAUGUGAAAUCUUAAAAAUUUUACAUUAUCUUACAAGUUGGCGUGACUUGUGGAUAUUGACUUACUUUCCUUACACACCAAGAAUUCCUAUUAUAAUUGUAAUUGAUUUACUUUAAUUCAUGAUUUCCUACUGUAAAUAGAUUUAAGAAUUUAUUAUUUACUUGCCCAUUCAGGUUUCGUUGUAUUAUAAAUAUGACCUCCUACAAGGAGAAGAACAUACAGAAAAUUCCCACAAACAAAUAUUCUCUCAUAGUUUUCAUAUUUUAGCAUGGUAUCAGAGCGGCAAUCUUGGAAUUGCUGACUCUAGUUUCAAACCCCCGCCGCCGCUAUGGGGGUUGAUGAUUUUUUCAACCAUCAUGGAGGUAGCACCAUCGACUCCUUCUCUCAUUCUCAACUAACCAUCGUUGAGUUGAGUGCCCAGAUGGCUCCGCUCCUACAGAUGCAGACUUUGACCCCAAACCCGAUCCAGAAUCAGGAUCUUCUUUCGACAACCACGACCCCGAUCUCGACUAUGACAACGACGACCCCGACCCCUACUCUGAAGAUGACCCCGACCCCCACUCCGAUGACCCCAACCCCGAAUUUGUCUCUGAUUCAGAACCCGAUCCCGAUUUCGACUCCGACUCCGGCCUCGACUCAGGCUCAGAUUUCGAUCCAAAUUCCUACUCAACUUAUAUCCUAUGCAUCUUCCGCUGCACAGAUUAUGACUUCUAGACUAACGACCCCGACAUAUGGACCAGAUUGCACAUAUUGUGGUGAUCCGAGACACACUUGUGAGACUUGUUUUAAAUCGCAUGGCUACCCCGAUUGGUGGGCUAUUCUUACAGAUCAAGGACAAUGCACCAGUAAUGGUACUGGUUAUGGAUUCCAUACUUCCGAUAAGAUUGAUUCCAGGAGCUGGAUAAUUGAUUCUGGUGCAACUGAUCAUAUGACGUUUGAUCCUGAUGAUUUUCUGAAUACUACACAACCUCGACGAACUUGUAUUGCAAAUGCCAAUGGUGUUACUUAUCCUGUGACAGGGGCUGGCACUGUUGCACUCUCAUCCUCUCUCACACUGUCUAAUACUUUACUUGUUCCAUUUUUAUCCACUAAAUUGUUGUUAGUUAGUCAGCUUACUAAACAAUUGAAGUGUUGUGUACUCAUUUACCUGAGUUUUUGUUUGCUUCAGGAUAUUCACACUAAGGAGAUUCUUGGUCGUGGUACUAAGAGAGGGGGGCUAUAUUAUGUCGAUGACUUCAGUUCCGGCGUGCCUAACAGUGUGACACAUCCCUUUGAUAGCAAACAAAAGCAAAUUUGGUUGUGGCACCUUCGAUUGGGACAUCCGUCUUUCAGUUAUAUGAAGCAUCUUAUACCAGAUUUAUUCUUAGGUUUCAAGGACUCCGACUUCACAUGUGAUACUUGUAUUUUGGCUAACAGUCACCGUGUGCCCUACCUGUUGAGUACGAACAAGUGUACUUGUAAGAUCCCACAUCAACCAACGGAGAGGGGGUGAUGUGCCUUAUAUAUGCACACCUGCAUCCAUCUAGCACGAGGCCUUUUGGGAGCUCACUGGCUUCGGAGUCGUAGGAACUCCGAAGUUAAGCGAGUUGGGGGCUAGAGCAAUCCCAGGAUGGGUGAUCCACUGGGAAGUUGCUCGUGAGCUCCUAGAAACAAAACCGUGAGGGCAGAGAGAGGGGCCCAAAGCGGACAAUAUCGUGCUACGGCGGAGUUGAUCCCGAGAUGUGACAAUUUGGUAUCAGAGCCACUCUGCCGUGUGGUGCGAAUGUGCCGACGAGGACUUCGGGCCCUUAAGGGGGGUGGAUUGUAAGAUCCCACAUCAACCAACGGAGAGGGGGUGAUGUGCCUUAUAUAUGCACACCUGCAUCCAUCUAGCAUGAGACCUUUUGGGAGCUCACUGGCUUCGGAGUUGUAGGAACUCCGACGUUAAGCGAGUUGGGGGCUAGAGCAAUCCCAGGAUGGGUGACCCACUGGGAAGUUGCUCGUGAGUUCCCAGAAACAAAACCGUGAGGGCCAGAGAGGGGGGCCCAAAGCUGAUAAUAUCGUGCUACGGCGGAGCCGAUCCCGGGAUGUGACAAUUGUACUACUCCAUUUACGUUAAUUCACUCUGAUGUCUUGGGACCUUCGCCUAUCACUGCUCCUUCUGGUGUUCGAUGGUUUGUCACAUUCAUCGAUGAUUGUAUACAGAUGACAUGGCUUUAUUUGCUGAAGAAUAAAAACGAAGUGUUUUCCCGUUUUCAGUCCUUCCACAAACAGAUGAAAACUCAGUUUAAUGCUCAAAUCCAGAUUCUUCGCUCAGACAAUGGUGGAGAAUUUGUCAAUCAUGACUUUCAGACUUACUUCCAACAACAUGGAAUUAUCCAUGAGACGACUUGUCCUCAGACACCACAACAAAAUUGUGUUGUUGAACGAAAGAAUUGACAUCUUCUUGAAACCGCCCAAGCACUUCUGAUUGGCGCUCAUGUUCCUCGCUAUCACUGGGAUGAUGCUAUUGUCACCGCAGUUCACCUGAUCAACCGCAUGCCUUCUGGUGUAUUGACCUUUAAAACUCCCUUACAGGUGCUUGCGCAACACAGACCUCUGCUCUCUGUUUUGGUACUCACACCCCGAAUCUUUGGAUGUGUGGCUUUCGUUCAUCUCCACAAAAAUCAACGUAGCAAACUUGAUCCCUGUGCGCUUCGUUGUGUUUUUAUAGGUUAUGCCACUCAUCAGAAAGGCUACCGUUGUUAUCACCCUCCUACCCAACGAACCUAUGUCACUUUGGAUGUGACCUUUCUGGAAUCUGAGUUGUUCUUCCAUGACCCAUCAUCCAAUUCUACGCAUCAGGGGGGGAUACGAAGUGAAGAGCAGAAUUGAAGCAACUUGGGAAAUAAAGAAAUUUUCCUCUGUACAGAAAUGAUUAAUCAUCCUGAGUCUGGAGCACGAGAUUACUCUCUGUCGAAAAGCAACCAAUCGCCCAUUCAUAGCGAUCAAUUGCCUCACCUACCUGAUCCAUGUGAAGAUAUUUUUGAUCCGAGUCUCACACCUACAGACAAUACAGAACAACAAGAUGAAGACUCCCCCUCUAACUCAACAGUACCAACAGACCAAUCUCCUGAGAAUAUCCUUGAGGUAACUACUCCUACUAGAUUUGUGCAUUUAAAUGAUUAAACUAUUGGAUAUCAAUUACCUUUCAGGGAAAAUCGUGGGAAGCCAUCAAACCGUUAUGCACCUGAUAUUGGCAAGACAUCCAAGUAUCCAAUUGCAAAUCAUGUAUCCACUGAGAAGCUGUCUGAACAACUCAAGGCUUUUGUGCAUCAGUUGUCUGCGAUCCAUAUUCCAACCAAGGUCUCUGAAGCAUUAAAAUAUCCUAAGUGGGUCCAAGCUAUAAAAGAGGAGAUGAAAGCUCUUGAGAAAAAUCAGACUUGGACAUUAGAGACUAUACCUCGAGGAAAAAAGACUAUCAGAUGUAGAUGGGUGUUUACUAUAAAACACAAUGUAGAUGGAUCUAUCGAGCAAUACAAGGCAAGACUUGUGGAAAAAGGGUACACACAGACAUAUGGUAUAGACUAUGAAGAAACCUUUGCUCCAGUUGCAAAGUCAAACACCAUCAGAGUCUUAUUGUCCCUUGCAGCUAAUUUGGAUUGGCCACUACACCAGUUUGAUGUAAAGAAUGCUUUUCUACAUGGCGUACUCACGGAGGAGGUGUACAUUUACAUUCCUCCUGGAUAUAAUACUACUUAGACUGGAACAGUUUGCAGGUUACGAAAAGCAUUGUAUGGAUUGAAACAGUCACCACGUGCAUGGUUUGGACAGUUCACCAUGGCAAUGAAGAACAAUGGUUCAAACAGUGCAACUCAGAUCAUACUCUACUCUUGAAACAUCGAAAAGGGAAGGUAACAACAUUAAUAAUCUAUGUUGAUGAUAUGAUUAUUACUGGGAAUGAUAAACAGGAAAUAUCACAGCUACAAGACUAUCUGGCUACGGAGUUUGAGAUGAUGGAUCUAGGUGGACUCAAGUAUUUCUUGGGAAUUGAGGUGGCUCGAUCCCAGCAAGGCAUAUUUCUCUCUCAAAGGAAAUAUGUCUUGGACUUGUUGACAGACACAUGAAUGCUAGAUUGUAAACCUGCGAACACUCAUAUUGUUCAGAAUCAUCAUCUUGGAGAAUAUCAUGAUCAAGUUCCAACUAACAAAGAAAGAUACCAAAGGUUAGUAGGAAGAUUGAUCUAUUUGUCACAUACUUGACCAAACAUUACUUAUGCAAUGAGCGUUGUCAGUCAAUUUAUGCACUCUCCAAGUGAAGACCACACGAAUGCAGUUCUUCGGAUACUUAGAUAUUUGAAGUCUGCACCUGAAAAAGGACUUAUUUUCUGAAAGCAUGGUCAUAUAAAUAUUGAUGGUUAUUCAGAUGUAAUGUAACAGAUAGAAAAUCCACAUCCGGUUACUUAACAUUCAUGGGAGGUAAUUUGGUGACAUGGAGGAGCAAGAAACAGAAUGUAGUAGCUUUAUCCAGUGCAGAAGCCGAGUUCAGAGGCAUGACUAAAGGAAUUUGUGAACUUCUUUGGUUAAGAAAGUUGCUUACUGAACUUGGGUAUAAACCUACAUCCACAAUGAUUCUCUUUUGUGACAACAAGGCUGUUAUAGCCAUUGCACAGAAUCCGGUUCAGCAUGAUCGUACUAAACAUGUUGAGGAGGAUCGACACUUCAUCAAACAGAAGCUUGAGGCUAAAAUGUUUCAGUUUUCUUUUGUGAAAUCCGAGGAUCAAUUGGCGGAUAUUUUGACAAAGGUGAUUUCCAGUAAAACAUUCCACAAUUCACUGGAUCAGUUAGGCAUUGGCGAUAUCUAUGCACCAACGUGAGGGGAAGUGUUGGCGUGACUUGUGGAUAUUGACUUACUUUCCUUACACACCAAGAAUUCCUAUUAUAAUUGUAAUUGAUUUACUUUAAUUCCUGAUUUCCUAUUGUAAAUAGAUUUAGGAAUUUAUUAUUUACUUGCCCAUUCAGGUUUCGUUGUAUUAUAAAUAUGACCUCCUACAAGGAGAAUAACAUACAGAAAAUUCCCACAAACAAAUAUUCUCUUAUAGUUUUCAUAUUUUAGCAAGAACUACUCGAGAGUUUACUAAAAGAGUAGUUCAGUAUUCAUCCACAAGCUAUAUACACAAUACACUCUAUAGAUAUGCCAAAAUCAUCGCAAGCUCUAGAUUUUAGGUUCGAUACCUGCAAAAUCUAUUAGAAGGGUGAGUGAAACCACAGUUUAGUAGGGACAUAAACCUUUUCACGGUAAACUGAUAUAAUUAAAUUAAGUGAAAAAUAAUCACACAGCCAAAUAUCACAUUAUUAAUAACAAUGCAUGAAUGCUCUUCAUUUAACCCGUUAAUUCAUAUAAUUAGACAAGCUUCACGACCCAUACCAUGCUUAUACCACUUAGUCCCGAAUGCCAAUUUAUAUGAAUUAACGCCCAUUUCAAUCAUCCCAUAAUUCCCAUUUUGUUAGUCAUCUUGUCUAACUCCCUGUUGCCAGUCCUGAAUCACCAAAAAAAAAAAACCAUGUGCACUAUGGGAUCCCUGAGUACUAGUACCUGGCAAGAGUUAGACUCAACUACACAAAAGAUCAUUUCUAUUACCCUCUUAUCCACCAUUAUUUUCUCAACUUCAGAAUUCUAGCCAAAUUCCAUGACAUGAUAUAAUUAAAAUUAUGCCUUCACAACAAUGUGCCCAUUUAAAACAUCACUAAUGCACAUAUAAUUAUGCCCACAUUGUUCAAAUAGUUAAGAGUACGUAAAUACCCAAUACAUGGAACGUCAAUCAAACAGUACCACGCAUAAUAUAAUGCUCAAGAAAUUUAAUUAAAUCAAUCUCUGUAAAAGGCCCCUAAGAAACCCCUGCCUUGAUACUAAAGCUUUUGCUAGACCUAUAAGGUGUUUUCCAAUUUUCCACCGCAUUCACAAACUCUGUCUUCUACUUUUUUUCUUACUUCUCUCUACCACUAUUUCUUUCUCGUUUUCUUUGUUUUCACUUGUUGUGCAACUUAAUGUCCUAUAUAUAUACAAGGAACAAGUCGGCAGUAAGUGAUUUCCUAUUGGAUGGUGUAUUCGGUUGUUAUAAACUUACUAGUAAUAGUUAUCAAUGUAGUUGCAGAUGAGGAAGAAUGUUUUUGUGACUCUUCCAAUCCCUCUAAUCCUAUUUCUUAUCUUCUUGGUGAGUUGAUAGCCUCGAUACUUAACAGAUUUUAUACUUUGACACGUAUUAACAAGAACUAUUUUAAAAACAUAUACAUAUAUAUAUAUAUAAUAGAAUAUGUAUAUAUGUAAUACACAUAUUUAUAUAUAAUAAGAAUAAUAUAUAUGUAAUAAGAUAUAAAUAUUUAUUAGAACAGUAUAUAAAAUAAUAUAUAUCAUUCUUAUUAUAACAAUAAUUUUAAUUUUCCCAAAAUAAUAUAUAUUUAAAAAUAUGUGGUUUCACAUGCAUGUCCUUUUUGCUAUAGACACUAUUACAAAAAUCGAAAUAGACAACGGAAAACUACCGUCGUCUGGAAAGUUUUCAAACAGUCGUGAAAUCGACUGUCGUCUCUUUUACAUAAAACAACGACGGCUAUUAACCAACGUCGUUAAUACAUUCCACGUAAAAAACUAUUAUAAACCGACGUGUAAUUACUAUAUAUAUAGCCUAAAAUAAAAUCUUCAACAACCUUAGACGACGGUUUUAUUAAAACUGACACGUCUAAAGAGUGUUACAUGUCAAGAUCAAAACAAGAACCGACGUACAGAUAAUUAUCCACGUCCUAAUUGAAGUAAAAUAGACUUGGAUAACCUAGAAACCGUCGUGGUUAACAUAUACUACGUUAAAUUAACAAAGGCACUUACGUCUAAAAAGUAAAAGACAACACGCGCACAAAGCAACAGACGUUUAAAGCUUAGUACAUGUCAAUAGCCGCUCAAUAACCGCAGUAAAAUGAAUUAACCACGUCCCACAUAUGGCAGAACUGUUGCUUAUGUGAUUAUCCACGUCGCGGAGUAGUAGAACAAAGACGUUGUAACCAUAUUCCACGUCUGUUUCUUGUGAGAAUUGUCGUUUAAAUUAUACAAAGAAGCCCCUUUGACAGAGUUAGACGUUGCUCUUGCUGUAGAACCGACUUCUAACAGGUUUAAAAUGACACAAUAUUACUUAAUACUGCCGUAACAAAUCAUAUCCACGACUGCUGUUGUCAAAGACUGACGUUACAAAAAAUAUUGAAGGUGUUGACAAAAAAGAACCGACAUGGAUUAUGCAUUCAACGUCGUGUGGUCUAAAAAUAAAGGACGUGGUUAAUUUUUUCUCUACGUCAAGUGGAUCCAAUUGCCUGAUGUUGUAAUUCUUUACCAUGUUGGUUUUUAAUACAUGAUGAUGUGGUUGUCCUUUUAAAAGUCGCUUGUUUUACCCUCCUUGACGUGUGUAUGAUAUGAGACGUCAAUUGUUUUAGACUAGCUGACGUGCAGAAAAUCUGUCACGACAAUUAAUGCAACUGAAUUGCCUCUAUUUCCCCCAGACGACGGUAGGUUUUAAGUGUGGAAGUAGUGUUUUACAAAAUCGUAAGUUGGAGUAAUCUACCAUCGUGUUAUUCGAGAAUAUACCACGAUCUUUGUUUUGUACUCGGUCGCUGAUGUUUAUACUACUUAAUAAACUGACAUGUUUUCAGUUUCAGACGGCGGCUUUUGUUUCUUUAUGGUCUUUUGCAUUUUUUUUCCAUGACAUUUUUGAAAGCCUAAUGUUGGUUUUAUUUUAGAAAUCGAUUUUUCCCCUUUUUUUACUGGACCGUCGUACUUUACACAUUUAAUCAAUUUUUUUCAAUUUUUGAUUCAUCGUGCCCAAAGCCUACAUAACGAAAAUGUGAUCAGAAUUAAAAUGAUGUACAAAGGUAUUAAUUAAUGUCAUACAAUUAACUGAAUAACUAAUGUCAUACACUACAACAAUCAAUCAAUCCAUAUAUCUUCACACCCAUCUUUAAUAUUUUCACUCCCAAACUCACCCACUAGGUCAUCAUAUGUGUCAACAUUUGGUAUCCCUCUAGUAAAUGUCUCACACUCAAUUCUAAUAUCACCUAGCACAUCAUCACCAAUAACAUUAUUAUAUUCUCUAUUAUGCAUUGAUAACACUACCGACCAACCACGAUGCAUUGGGUCGUCAGCAUAAAAUACUUGUUUUGGUCAUUCCUAUGUCCAAUUUUACUCAAAUCUACAAAGGUGAAUCCAAGUUCAUCGACAACAAGGCCCAAAGUGUUAUCUAUCCAAUCACACCUCAAGACAAGGAUUCUAAACUUUUGGUAGUCAAGGUCCCAAAUUUCUUGAAUAACACCAUAAAAACCCAUAUUGGAGACAAUAGAGUUUUUAUCCUUAGCACUAGCAACUUGCAUAGUAUGUGCAAGUAAAUAAACUCCACUAUUUUGGACAGUUCGCAUAUCAUCUUGUGCCUUGGUGUUAAAUUUAACACCAUUAAUAAGAUAGCUCCUAUAUGAUGGCAUUGCCAUGCUUGGACUAGCUGCUAGCCACCUCAAAUUUUAUGAUACGCCAUUAUGCUCUUCCCCAUUAAGUUCACUUUGAACUUGCAAAUUAAUCGUAUAUAUCCUAAUUCGAUCUAACAUAUAAAAAGGAAGAAAAUUAAAAGUUGAAUAUGUCAUUCAAUAACAUAUAUACUUGAAAGUGUAGCCAUUGAAUGAAAGUGCUAUUGUGCUUAUCUUGCAGCCACUUUGUUCUCUUUCUAAAUAUUGGAUAAGUGGUCUUGAUGUGGAUCAUAUGUUCCAUACAUUGACACGAAAAAAUCAAGCAUUACGGUCCCUUGUAUAUAAGAUAACAUAAGGAAUAAUAAUAUUUAAAAUGGCUCUAUAUGAAAAAUGGAACUCAUGCGUACUCGAUAUAAGGUAGGACUUCCUCAGUAUUCUCCAAGACAUAUAGAUGUGUCUGGUUCAAAAAACCCGAUCACCUAAGCUUACUGUGCAACCAGAUAAUGGCUUUGAAACUCCCAUCUUCUAGCUUGAAGGCACUCCAACUGUACUAACAUCAGAUAAAUGCUCGGUGCAAAACUCUACAACUUCUUCAGCUAUAUACCGCUCAAUAAUGCAACAUCCGGGACGAGUACGGUUCUGAACAAACCUAUUUAGCACUUUCAUAUGUCUUUCAAAUGGAUACAUCCAUCUAAAAUAUACUGGCCCAUGUAGACGAACUUCUCUGACAAGAUGUACUACUAGAUGAACCAUGAUAUCAAAGAAUGAAGGGGGAAAGUACUUCUCAAGCAAACGCAACGUAACUACUACAUCUUCUUCCAAAUUAUCUAGCUUGGAAACAUCUACUGUCUUUGCACAUAUAGCAUUGAAGAAGAAGCACAAUCGAGUUAUUGCAUACCUUGCAGGCUUCUCCAAACAGAACGAAUUGCCACAGGGAGCAAUUGUUGCAUCAAGGCAUGAAAAUUAUGAGAUUUAAGGCCAAGAAGUCUUGAAUAUUUUUAAGAUACAAGAUUUUUUUAUAUUUGAACAAUAACCUUCAGGGACUUUCAUACCAUAGAAAGAAUUGCAAACCGCUCUCUUAUCUGCUCUUGACAAAUUCUAGGGCCUUGGAGGCAAGCGAGUACGUCUUUCUCAAUACUCGGGUUGCAAAUCAUUUUUGACCCCCAUGUUCAAUAAAUCUAACCGAACAGCAAUCUCAUCUUUAUUUUUUCUAGGGAUCUCCAGCAAUGUACCAAUGAUACUAUCGCAAACAUUCUUCUCAAUAUGCAUAACAUCUUGGACAUGCCUCAUAGGAAGGUAUUUCAAAUACUCGAGAUCAAAGAAUUUUGAUUUCUUAUUCCAACAAACUCUGUCACCAUCAUUCUCAAAAACACUUCCCCCAUUUUUCGAGCCCCAUAUGUAAUUAAUAUCUUCAACCAUGUCCUAUUCAAGUUAAUGGUUCGGGAGGCGUGCCAUAUUCAAGUUUUCCAUUGAAAGCUGCACGCUACCUCCGACAUGGAUGAUUGAUUGGUAACCAUUUUUUAUGACCAAUGUAACAAAUUUUGGGGCCAUUUUCAACCUGUGACUAGGUGUAUCAUCGCCGCAUAUUGGACAAGCUUUAUAUCCUUUAACGACACUGUAACACCCCGACUCUAAAUUAAUCCCUUAUUUAAUUAUUUAAAGAAAAUUACAAAUUUACCCUUAAGAUAGGGGUAUUUUGGUCAUUUUCUUACCCGAAGAGAGUUUGGGGCAGUGACUAGUAUUUUUGGAUAGGUCGUACUGAGACGAGUUCAUAGACACGUAGUGGGCUCGAAUCGAAGUUGUAACGAGAGAGAUAUGGUCAAAAGAAACCCAAUUGCACAAUCAUAAUUAUUUCGAAAUGAGAUUUUUAUAAAAAUCAGAUUUUUUUUUCUCUCUCUCUCUCUCUCCUCGUCGGUCUCUCUCCCUCUCCUCGAAACUCCGGCCAUCGGCCACGGCUGUGGACGGGGCCGGUACCAAAAUGACCGAGGCGUUGUCCUCCUCUAAUCCCAGCUAGGUCCCGCCGUCAGCCGCCAUGGUUUCGCCGGAAAAUGGAGAAGAAGCGGCCGGCGUCGUCCGAAGUUCUCCGCCGUUGAUCUCCCUCUUCCGGUCACCGAUUCCGACGAGUGAGGUAUGGUUUCUCACCUACUUUUCAUGCUCUAGCUGCCUGCUGGGUAUGAUUGGAUUGAUUUUUAGCGUAGGCAAUUCGAUUUUCGCAUUGAAAUUCGGCUAAUUUUGGAAUCACGAUUCCGGCUAGUUCUGGUCAGUUUUUGGGGUAGAUCCAAGAACAAAAGUGGCUCCAAAUAGGGUGUUAUACCUAGGGUAGGAGUUUGGAGCCAUGGUUUUGAGAUUUUCCGGCGAUACGUAAUCGCUUUAGACACCCAACGCUGCCCGCACGUGUGGCAGUGCGUGGGCGAGGGUAGUGAAAUAGCACUAUGUCUCGAUGAGAUCCUUAGGUUGUCACGAGUGCGUAGGAUUUCGCGGAUCUCAAUUCGGACGUCGUUUGACUAUCGAACGGAUUUUCGUAUAUUGCGCGUCAUCCGGGUUCGAUAGGUUGGGACCGUUGGAUGGUCUCGAAUAAAAUAUAUGUUAAUCUAGGUAUUUCUAGGAUCAUGUAGGAAUUCACGGAUUAUAAAUCGGAGCCCCGGAUAUUCCGAAUAAAUAAUUUAAAGUUUAUGUUUUAUAAUAACCGUCACAUCGUGCGAUCGUGAGCGAUCCGACCGGCCGAUCUGGACCAAACUUACAGAACGAGUGUCCUAUACCUUGAAGAACCCAUAGGAAUUUUCAGAUCGAAAUUUGGAGGUCGUGGGCCCCGUGGGCCCAUUUGACUAGGGGUAGGGUAGUUUGACCCUUAGUUGACCGUGAGUCUCCCGGAGUAAUCUCACCUUUCCAGGGGGAUUAUCGGGUGCUAGACUGUUGUUGAGGUUUACACGAUAUUAGUAGUAAAUUAUAUAUUUAUAUACAUUUGUAAAGGUAAAAAAUAAGUCCAGAAUGUCAGUUUGAAGUGCUUUACGCACUACCUUAGGUACCUCCCCGGAUUUUAGUUACACUACAAGUACCACCCUAUGAAAGUUAGGUCCCACGUGGCGUAGGUUAUCCGGCGUGCGGACAGGCCCUAUACGUGGCAUUGGUAGUAUCGGUGUAUGGGGAGAUUACGUGAUAAUAUGUUGAGGUCACACGUGGCGUAGGUUAUCCGGCGUGUUGACAGACCCCAUACGUGGCGUUGGUUGUACCGGCGUAUGAGGAGAUAUUGUGAUAUGAUAUUCAGGUCUCGCGUGGCGUAGGUUAUCCAGCGUUGAGACAGACCCCAUACGUGGCGUUGGUUCUACCGGCGUAUAAGGAGUUUAUGUGAUAUUAUGUUGAAGUCGCGCGUGGCGUAGGUUAUCCGGUGUGUCGACAGACCCCAUACGUGGUGUUGGUUGUACCGGCGUAUGGGGAGAUAUGUGAUAUGAUGUGCAGGUCUCGCGUGGCGUAGGUUAUCCGGCGUUGAGACAGACCCCAUAUGUGGCGUUAGUUGUACCGGCGUAUGGGAAGAUAUUGUGAUAUGAUAUUCAGGUCUCGGGUGGCGUAGGUUAUCCGGCGUGUUGACAGGCCCCAUACGUGGCGUUGGUAGUACCGGUAUAUGGGGAGAUUAUGUGAAAUACAGAGAAAUGAAAUAAGGUAUUGCCUAUGUGUGGAAUUGGGUUUUAAGGAAGAACUACGUGUGGCUUGAUCCCUCAGGGAGGGUACGUAGGCAGCCUAAGGUUAUUAGGUGUAGCCGCGGACAUAGACGUGAUUGUGUUAGGAGGUUAAAACCUCGUAUGUUGAAAUUGAGAAAAUUAGAUGAUGUAUGUUGAAAUUUAGUAGUCGUAAUUUAUAUUUAAAUUUAUCGUUUGCCUUGUUUAAGGCAUGAAUUGAUUUGCUAGCAUGCUUGGUAGUUGAGAAUUAUAGAAAGGCCGAAGGCCGUUUAUGUGAAUUGCAUGGAAUUAUAUUGUGCAUGCUGCCAGUUGUAGUUAUUAAAUGUGUUUUUAUGCAGGUUGAAAUUUUGGGAAAUGUCCAAUUUACAGGGGAGACUCUGCCGAAAUUUCGGCAGAAAGUCUCGGUCUUUAGUAAGUGGGCCUGACAUCGAGGUGAUGUCGGGGAAUCCACAGGAUCCGCCUCGAUUUUUGGAAAAAUCGGGGCGGUUCCUUUCAGACACAACCAGAUAAGUUCUCAUAGGCAGAAAAAUCAUUAAUUGUUCACAGUAAUACACCUAUGAGUGUAAAGUAAUCUCCUAUGUGUGCAUCAUACACUCCUUUAAUCCCAUCCCACAAAGAUUUUAAAUCAUCAAUCAGAGGCUCUAAGUAGACAUCUAUAUCAUUUCCAUUCUAUUUAGGACCAGAAAUCAAUAAGGUCAAUAUCAUGAACUUCCAUUUCAUGCAUAGCCAUGGUGGGAGAUUAUAUGUAACUAAGAUAACCAACAAUUGUAUCUGCUACUUAAAGAACUGUGGGGAUUGAAUCCAUCAGAUGAGAGAGCCAAUCUCAAGUUUCUUGGCUCUUUACUGAACUCGGGCCAUUUAUCAUCAACAAGUUUUUAAGACGGGAAAUUCGCUGGAUGAGACAUAUGACCGUCAAUUGCUUUUCUAGCAACAUGCCAAGUCAAACUCUUAGCUGUCAUAUGUGAUUGAAACAUCCUUUUAAACCUUGGAAUUGGAGGAAAAUACCACACCACCUUCGCUGGCACACUCUUUUUCAAGAUUGAAUCUUUGCAUUCCUUCCACCUUGAGAUACCACAAGUAGGACAAUUAGUUGAAUCUUCAUAAUCAUUCCUAUACAAGAUGCAGUCAUUGGGACAUGCAUGGAUAUUCUCAUAACUCAUCCCUAAAGGAGAUAAUGUCUUUUUUGCCUCGUACAUAGAGGAAUAUAGUGUCUUUCCUUCUGGAAGCAAAUCUCCUUGAAGUAUCAAUAAUUCUAUAAAACAAACAUCACUCAUCCCAUGUUUUGCUUUCAAAUUAUAUAACUUCACCAAAGCCGACAACAUCGUGUACUUACUGCAACCAGGGUACAAGGAUUGAUCUCAAUCCCCAAUCACAUUGGCAAACUCAUAAGGAUCAAAUCCAAUAUCGCCUAAAUCAUUAUCAUCCAUCCCUACUUCUUUAGAAACAAAACUGAACCUACUUUGCUCAUCUUCUUCCACAUUUCUACUAGCAUUAGUAGUCAAUUCCCAAGGUUCUCCGUGCCAUGUGCAAAUCUGAUAGCUUUAGUCAAUUCCAUUAAAGUAUAAGUGGUCCCUCAUAAUUCCAACCCCAAACAAUCGAAUAUUCCCACAUUUAACACAUGGACAACGAAUAUGAGUUGUAUUUCCAAGAUUUUCUACAGCAAAAUUCAAAAAUCCUUCCACCCCUAACUCAUAUGCCUUCGGUCUUCUAUCCGCAUGCAUCCAUGACUUAUCCAUCUCACACACUAUAAAAUCAUAUAUAUAAUAAAGUGAAAAGACCAGCAAUGAAACACUACUUUAUUCACAUAGCAAAGAAUGAAUUGAAAAAAAAAAUUAACCAAGAAUCAGACGACGGUUUUUACAAAAAAAAUCGUCCUGUAACAGAGGGUCAGACGACGGCAUAUCUAGUUAUCGACGUCUUUAAGCUACCCAAACCCAGAUAUUUGUAUUGCUUUUUGAAGAACCGGGUUCUGGGUUCUGGUAAACAAAAGAUGACGGUAAAUGGAGAAACACCGACGUAUCCUAAAACUUGAGACGACGGUUUAUUUCACCAACCGUCGUCGUAGUUUACGAAAAACAGAAGUCUAAAUCUCCCAUCCUCAUUCCUUUUCUAAGAACCCUUAACAAAAUGCAAACAUCAAAAUAUAAAAGAGCCAUAUAUAGCUCCCAAUUAAGAAACCAAAGCUACCAAAACAUAUAUUAAUAAACCAAAGCUACCAAAAUGAACGAAAACAUUUAUGGGUUUUACAAACUAAGAGAAUAUUGAGAGAGAGCUGAGAGAAUAUACUUACAUGGAUAUUGAGAGAGAGCUGAGAGAAUAUAACAAAUGCUUGAGAGAGAGCUUAGAGAAUAUACACAAUGCUUUGAGAGAGAGCGAAAAAUUUAAGACAAAUUUAUGUUGAAGAGAGAGAAGGAAAUAUUUUAGGGUUAAAGGGAAAUUCUGAAAAUUUUAGAUCACCGUCAAAAUUUUCAAAGGACCGCGUUUUUCAAAGACGGCUAAGGAAAACUACCGCCAUUGUAAAUCAUUUUACUACGACGGUUGAGGAAAACUACCGCCAUUGUAAAUCAUUUUUAUGUCGCCUCUAUAAAAACCGACGUCUAAAAUAUUAAAUAAUUAGAUUUGGUUUGCAUUUCGUGGGAUUCUAACGUGCGUAAUUGACCAAAAAGAGCGAGAGAAAACCAGCGUCGUUUCUAUAAAACCUAAACCCUAAACCCUAAACCCUAAACUCUAAAACCUAAACACUGAAAAAAUUAACCAAAAAUUGCUAUGGACUCCUUACAACAAUGCCUUCUAUAUUAGUAGGCUAAAAUCGGGAUUAAAUAAUUUUGAAUUUUAUGACCACCAAUGGAUCACAUAAACCUUAGGGUUAUGUUUAUGGAAAGUAUAAGGAUUAUUGUGUUUUGUCUCUAAAUCUUUUUUACUUUUGUUAUCACUUGUAACUUUGAAAUCUAAAAUUAAAAUUUUCAGGCCUUUAGGGGGGAGAUAUUGUCUCAAUGUGUUUAUAGAAUUUGAGACUGCGAAGGUUCUAGCUGAUUGACUAAGGAUGAGGCAGGAUGGAUGGAAGGUUUGCUUGGAGAUUCUACCUUUGUCAGCUCUUCUGGUUGACAUGUUGUUUAUUCUGCCUGAGGAACUACUUCUAGAUUUUUCCCUUUUCUAGCAGAACUAGUCUCUGGAAGUACUUGUGUGUCAUCCUUAUUCUUGAGGAAGACGCAGUAUUGCCUUUGAACUCUCCUCUUUUGCAUUCUGGUUAGCUUCAGAGUUGGUCUUCGGCUUUUUCCAAUAGAAUAUCAUCUACCUUCUAUGAUAGUUGCAAAGGGCUUGUCAUUUCCAGGCAUCUUAACUGGUAUUUCCUUCUUUGGCUGCUCUAUUAUUCUCUUGUUGCGUUGGGCAGGCCUUAAAUAGUCCUUCUGUCUGGCUCUAUCUCUAGGUGGAGCCGGAACUAGGCCUUGUUGGUAUGAUGUUCCAAUCCUGUCAAAAACACAAGGUGUGGGCUGACUUUGCCUAACCAGAGUUACCUCUAACUCACUUUCACAUUUGCACCUGUUGCACAAAACUACCCCAGCCGAAAUGGUUGCUUUUGGUCUUCAAUUAGCCUAUCUUUGGACUCUUCUGCCUAUGCUGGGGCUAACUUUUGCUGUUAGUUUGCCUUUCUUUUGUUUUGGCCAAUUUAAGUUGACCAUGUUGACUUGAGGUUGGGGAAAAGGGUCUGUUGUUAUCGAAUGAGGUUUCUCAGCCAGUUUUAGCCUCCAUGCUGUUAUUCCUUCCUGUAUGACGUCCCUGAAAACAACACAACUAUUGGUGGAAUGGUCCCAGGAGUUAUGCCAUCUGCAAUACUGUCUGCCCUUGAGUUCCUCUAGCUUGGGCAACUUGUAGGGUGUUUCUAUUGCCUUCUGUCGCAGCAUGUCAUCAAACAGGGCAUCAACCUUGGUUAAAUCGAGGGAAUAGACUUUGUUAUGAGCUGGUUUGUUUGGAACAAACCCUCUUGUGAAUGGUGGUGGCUUUUGGUCCUUUGGUGGCUUUGUUAAAGCCUUGCAACUGAUGAGAUGUUUUAAUUUCCCCAUUUCUGCCACUGCAACUUCUCUCUCCUCCGAGCUUUCUAUGCCUUCUUCUGAUUCUACCUCAACAAGAUUUACUGAAGAGGAUGGGGUUUUGUAAUAUGUGCCUUUGAAAGAGUUCCUCUUCUAUUGUUCUUCCCUGAGCAGCUCCUUGUAUUUAGAUGCUUUGUCUGCUAGUUCUGCCAGAUCUCCAAACAGCAUCCCAUCAAAUUUUUUUCUCAGAGAGAUUUUAAGGGAGAUUUGAGCCAUUUGGAUGAAGUGCCCUUCCUCCAUAGGGAUUCAAAAUUUCAUUUUGAGCUUUUUGAACCUGGUUAUGAAGUCUUGGGCAGGCUCAUCUUCCCUCUAUUUCCAGGUUUGAGGGCAGCAAGAUCACUGAUGGUGACUUCUGGCUGAAUCCUAAAAUAGUAGUCAUGGAAGACAUUUUCCAUCUAUUUCCAGGUUUGAACAGAAUUGGCUGGUAAGCUAGUAUAUUAGAUGAAGGCUUGUCCAGAGAGAGAAUUUCGAAAAAGCCUUAGUUUUAACAGAAGGUUAUUUUCUAUGGCUAUGCACUGGAAAGAGAAUCUGCCUAUAUGCUUAACUGAUGAAGCAUGGGUGUCUUCUCCGUUGAACAAGGUGAAGUGUGGUACCUUAAAGCCCAGGGAUAGAGGUAUUUGAUCGAUAUAAGCUGGAUAAGGCUUUCUGUAGGUGGGCCUUUCUCCUCUUCUGGCCUCAGGUUCCAUCAUCUCUCUGAUCAUUCUAUAAAGUGCCCCCAUGUCAUUCAAAGCAUUGACAUGAUGCGGGGUUCGCCCCUGUUCUGGCUAGUUGUGUUCAAUCCUUUGUUCUACUUUAUAUGGCCUGGGCAGAACUUCCUCCCUAUGCUCUUCCUCUUUUUCGAAAUCUGGAUGAUUCCUUUAGUUUGCCCCCGGUCUGUUUUUGUCAUUGUUGGCAAAGGGUUUAACUCCUACUCUACCUCUCAUGCCACUUGCUAGUGGAGGGAAUGGAUUGGGGUCCAUCCUUCUAGGUCUGUAGGGCAACACAACUGGUUGCUCAGGCAGAAGUGCCAAGGCCUGAUCACGUGGGGCCACUAGUUGUGGAAUAGGUGGAGGUUCUGGCUAGUUCUGAGGGGGUCUGAACUGGUGCAGAGCCUUCUGGAUGAACUGAAUCCUCAUGUUCUUGGAUGGGAAGGGCUCCUCCCCUCUGUCCAGCUUGGAUUUCUCCAUGUCCUGGUAUUCCAGCUAUCUGUGUGAUGAGAGGCUUCUCUUCAUAUGGCCAUGCCAGUCCUGGUAGAGGUCCAAAAGGGAGAUCUAGCUGCUGGACCACCAUGUCUAGGUUUGGAAUUUUGGCAAUAGUAGCCUCACGGUCCUUCCUGAACUGCCUGUUGACUUGCCAUUACAUCAUGGUUGUCAUGUUGUUUAGAGUAUCUUGGCUCAUUUGUGCUGUGGCUUCUUGCCGAAACACAGCCUCCUGUAUCUAGUUUAACCUUCUGGAACCAGACAUGGAACGUCUACUCGUGGUACUGCCAUGGGCUGAUUACCUAGCAUCACUUUCUUUUGACUCAAGUCCUUUUCGGAGAGCUGCUUGAUCUCUUUUCAUGGCAUAGCGUGGAUUCUGGCUAGAACUUCCAAUAUUCAUAUACUAGAGGAUUUUUCUAGAAAUAUAUGUAUUGAGAAGUCCCACUGGGCGUGCCAAAUUGUUCAUCCGUUUUAGAUUUGUUCCUGUGAUGGUAGGGUAAAGUUCCUCAUUGACUUGAAAACCAUUGGUGGUCAAUAAGUCAACUUUCUUUUGUGUACAAAUGUGCCACUGCUAGCAAUAAAAACCCUAGCAGACUUCUUAAAAAUAGAAAACUUGUGCCCAAGUUAUUAACUUCUAAAUAAGCGAUUGUGAAUUUGGGCGAGGAAUAUCUCCCAAGUAAGUUCUUUUCUUUGCCUCAGAUUGGUGAGGACUUCACAAUUUUUCACAGUACAAAACUGGUAGUUCUAGCUAGAAUAAAUGAUAAGAAAGUGAACUGUUUUCAGGCAGAACUACCUUUUACAAAGCUUAAAAAGGAAGACCAACUCUAAAAAGACAAAAAGAGCUUUUGGACUUCAAUUUCUGCUUGGAUAAAUGCUUCUGAUCCGGGCUGGACUGGGUAUGUUUGUGCUGGACUGGACUAUCAACACCUUCAACUGUCAAGUUUUAGCUGUCAAUGAAUACCAAUGUUCGAGUGUGGCAAAGCUUCAAUCUAUUUCAAGCCGUGCAAGGCUUUUUGAACGGACAGAAUUGGAACCUCUUCAGUCUGGAAGGGGUAGAAGUGGCUGAAUUUGGUGAUUACUGAGCUGGAACUGCACUGUAGUACCUGUUCUGCUUGAUCAGGGCUCUCCAUAAAUUUGUUGAGGUUUUAAUAUUGGUAAAACCCGAAGCUUAUGUUGAACCAACUUUGUAACGAGAGAAAUCUUGCUUUGAAUGACUAUUUCUCUGAAACUAAACAGAAGUUAGAGAUUCUGGAAUAUAGCUGACUUGUUUCUUAUGGCUCAAUGAGCUUUUGGUUGCUUCAGUGUUUUGAAGGCUUUUGAGAUCAAGUGAUCAUUUUGAGUUUUUAUUUUUGAUUGAUUUUUUGGCUGUCCUUUUAUCUGUUCACCUCAUCUCAUAUUUAUAGAAUAUACUGGAGUGUGAUUUCUAAUCUUUUAAUAAUGGGCGGCAAAUCUUUUAAAAGAUCUUUUUUUCUUUUUUCAAUGUCAUAAGAGAAGGAAGCUACUAUUCUGACAGAGAAAGGUUGUCAACAAUCAUCUUUCAAUUUUUCUAUGUUCACUUUUUGUUCUUUGUAAAGAGAAAGAACACAAUCUACCAUGAUGGUCAGUGUGCUUUUCCUGUUGAACAACUCCCUCGUUCUCUACUUAUCUCUUGAAAACGUAGUCUGCUUAUCUCUUGGAAAGACCACCUGAUUUGGUGCAGAGCUUCUCUAUAUAUAUAUAUAUAUAAAGGGAUUUUGAUCUUCUUCUUUUGGCUGAAAAAAUAGAGAAGUCUUUCUGUAAGACCUGCCUUCAUUAAUUUUCUAUCAACUUCUCUGUAAUAGUUGAAAAUUUUGACUUUUCAAAGCCAGGUAUUCACGUGGGGUUGUUUAGAAAAGAUCUGUUGAUUUUGUCAAUCUUUUAGGGUAGAGAUUAAAUAGCGUAAAAAGGCUGGGCUAGUCUCUUUUUCUUAGUAGAUAAAAAGCCCAAAUAUUUUGUCUCACUGCCCUUUUCUGGAAAAUAAAUGGGCUGGGUGUGUUGGAAAUUGGCCCAAUCUUAAGAAAGACUCUGGUGGCUGCCCAAAAUUGACAUAGGCUUUUCUUGAUUUUGGGCUGGGCAUGCCAAAUUAGGCCCAAACAAUGCCCCUUAAGUCUGAAUUGUUUUUGGAAUAGUUUCAGACUUAAUGAUUUGGCCAUUAAUUUGUGCGCGCCAUUUCCUUCUGUUAGCCCACAUCUGCCACGUCUGCCUAUUAUGAUCAAGACUUCGUGGGAAAGUGGGCAGUUACUAGCUAGUUAUUAUCAGGUGGCGUCUUGUCUUCUUCUUCCCACGAUUUCGAGUCUUUCUAAGAAAUUUAAAAAGACCUCAGCUCCUGUUUACUCAAAACCUAACUUCUUCAGACCUUGAUUUUCCUCAGUUUUCUCAGAAUUUUUACCCUUUUCUGCGAUCAAACCCUGCUUCCUUUCAGUUUGAUUCCCCUAUCCUAGCUCAAAACCCGAAAAUGUCUUCUCCAAAAAAUCGUGCCCAGACUUCUUCUUAUUCUGUUCCUCCUACCUACAUUACUGGGGCCGGUGUUGAUAAGCAUGUGAUUGAAGUCCGGAGCAAGCUUCAUCCUUUUGCCCAGAACGUUCUGGACAAGAACGUGUUACAUUUGUUCGAGAACACUCUUGUUUUGGAGCCUCAUCGGUUUGGUUCUGUCCCGACUGAAAUGGCAGAAUUGUUUAAAGAAUAUACUGAAGCUCCUCUAUGCUUUCAGAGCUCUUUCGUAGAUUUCAGUUUUAUAUAUAAACUAUCGUGUUUCUCCCUAUAACAUGUCGUUUUUAAGAAUUGUUGUCAAUGUUUUAUUUCCUGCUACUAUAAGACGGCGAUUAUUUAUACAUAUGAGACGUGUAAAUUAGAAUGAGACGUCAGUCUUUGGGAUUUAAAUUAAGUUUUUACGAUUUAAUGUCAUUUUAGUUCAUAUAAGGACAUAAAUGUCCUAACCAAAAAUAUAUUUAUGUACAUUGUCAAUAAAUUAAAAUAAACCUAAACAUUGUUAAAAUAAAUUAGAUCACUUAUUAUUCUGUAAUUACUUGUUAACGAAUUCAGCCCAUUCCAACCUGACUUCGUCAAUAUGUUCUUAUACAUACUGAACUGGUUCCUUUUUCUUAUCAAACUGCAAAUAAAUAACAAAAACCAACGUGUUAUAAAGAUUACAACGACUGCUUUUAAAGAAAAAGUUGUGGUACUAAAAUAAAGAAUUUAUAUCUUAAGUUUUGCCUUUUACCUUCUUCUCAAAUGCUAGGCCUGGAUCAUGAAUUAUAUCUCUCAUGAAAUGCAUCACGUAAUAGCCACACUCUACAUUUGUUGGUUGUCGAGGAGUGCCAUGUAGAUUUUUCCAUAUGACUGAUUUACAUGAUGAUUAAUUGCCUGUGUGAGAGUUAUACAUUUUGAUUGAACUGUUUCAAGAAAAUGAAAAGUGUUAAUGAUAAAAAUAAAAAUCUAAAGCAAAAAUAUUAAACGUCGUGGUAAAUAAGUGAAGACGAUGGUUUUGUUAAAAAAGUGAUGUUGUAUUUCAUUUCAAACGUUGGUAAAUAAAAACCGUCGUUGUGUAGAAUUCUAACGUCGGUGACGAUGAAAAAUGACGUAUAACCAAAAAUUGUUUGUAAAUGAAAGUUGAACAGAAAAAAAUAAAACUUCCUUAAAUGAAAAACACAAACGACGUGGUAUUUCAAUUAAAAUGACGGUUUACAGAAAAUACUGACGUUGUAAAUGAUUUCAAACAUCGGUUUGAAGUUACCAUCGUGUUUUCAUUGUAACGUCGGUAUUAGAAAAAGCCGUAUAUCAUUCAAAUGCAAAUAAAAAAAUGUUAGAUUUUCAUAGAUAAACUUACAUAUUCACUAUAUUUCUCAUGUCCUCGUCAACAACGCGGUUUGGCAAUGAAUCCAUGUAAUAGAUAGUCUCCUUCGCUGGUCUCACAAUUAUUAACACCCAAUGACCCCUACACAUAAUGAUCCAUAUAGGUUAAAUAUACUAGAAAGAAAAAUAGGCAUCAAGUAUAGUUAAGGGGACUAACCUUGGAUUACAAGGCACCAUGUAAAAUUGAUCCCCAUUUGCGUUUUUCAGGCGGUCUGAGAGAUGUUUCAAACGGUAAGAUAACGUUCCAGAUUGAGAGCUGACUUGUCCAAGGUCCACGAAGCCAAUAAGGUUUACCAUAUUUUCUAUUUUUAAAUAGUCAAAUAGGCACCUAAAUAUAUGAAAUUCAAUUAAAUGAGAUUUUAACUUUAAAGAAAGGAAAUGUAUAAUGCAAUCACUGUGGAUCCAAUCUCAACCAUGGAAGGAAAUUGUAAAAUAUCUUCACACAAGAGGAAGGUAUCAUGGUUAAUGCCAAAGGCUUCCUCUGGAAUGUGAAUUCUAAUGGUCUCGUUAAUGGGCUUCAACUUGGUCUCGACAAAUUGAAAUAAGGCUAACAGAGGAGGUGGCAUGUCUAGCUUUGAGAGAUCCUGUUACAACAAAUAAAUAAAGAAAUAUAAGUUAGUUUGUACACUAAGUAAAAUAAACGACUCUAACUAAACCAAUCAAACCGACGUGGUAUAUAAUAUAAUCGACAGUUUCUAGAACAUACUGAAGGAGUAAAGGUUAUAGACGACGGUAAAGACAUAACCAUCGUUAUGUAAAUGUUCUAACGUCGCUGCAUUAUGGAAAGGUCGUCUAAUUAAAAUGCAGUGAAGCCUUUAUUGAAAUACACGACAGUUUAUAAAAUAAACACCGACGUAGUAAAAUACUGAGACGACGGUUAUCAGCAACGUCUAUUUGAAAUUAUAAAUCAGAAAAAAUCAAAUAUCAAAGAUUUUACCGUUUCAUCUUGCCAUUGUUUAGCAACAUCAGCAUCAUUCGUGGGAUUUUCUUCCUCCAAAACAAGGGGUCUCACAUUAGAGCAGCUUGCUUUGUCAGACAUUAGAUUUUUUGGAGUAAUUGGAGUUUUAUUGAGCAAGUUGGGAUCACAGUUGGGAAUUAGUUGACUGAAUUGUUUCAAUAAAAUUUCCCUCUCUGCUCUGACUGCCUCCAAAACAGUUUCUUUUGCCUUAGCUUUAAUCUUUUUGGUUUCUUCUCUCACUGCCUCCAUAACACUUUCCUUCAAUUUGUUAGCAAAUUUUACUCUCUGCUGUCUCGACAAAUUGAAGAAUUGAGUUGGGGAAACCCCAGCUCCAACACCUCUAACUCUCCCACCAUGCUCAGGGGUUCCCAAAGCCAAGGUCAAAAUAUCGUUGCUCUCAGAGACAGCAGAGUGCCCUCGGAAACUUGUUUUUUCAAAUCAUCCUAAAAGUGAGAGAGAGAGAGAGAGAAUGUUAGUGAGUGAACAGAUAGUAAAACAGAUUAAAUAAACAACUAUACAAAAAUAUUAACCGACGUGGUAAAGACUUUAAAAAACUGAAAUCAAUCCCCAAUAGUAACAGGGACCAUGCAGCAACGAUUUGGUUGACAGUAGUAUAGGUUGGAGAUGCUGUUGAUCAUUAGAUACUAUUUUUUUAAAUAUCAAUUCUGUAACAUCCAGACCUAAAAAAUUAAUGAUUUUGAUUUAAAAUUAAAUUUAAAUAAGCAAUUACGAAUUUACCCUUGGGGAAGGGGUAUUUUGGUAUUUUUUUUUUAUUCAGAAAGAGUUUGGGGCAGUGACUAGUAUUUUUGGGUAGAUCGUACUGAGACGAAUCCGUAGACACGCGGUAGGCCUGAAUCGGAGUUGUAACGAAGAAACGGUGACCAAAAUUAGUCCAGUGGCAAACUUGUAAAUAUUUUGAACUUGGGUGUAGAAAAAUCUGAAACUGGCUUCCUCUCUCCUGCGUGCACACGUCCUUCUCUCUCUCUCCUCUCUCUCUCCUCGAUACCAUCACUCUCUGUCUCUCUCUUCGAUUCUCUCAAUUCUGGCCACGGCAAGGGCCGGGACUGGUUCCGAUCAACUCCUCACAAAGCCCCGAACCAGAACCACCACUUUUCUUGGCCGGAAAGCUCGAGUUUCGCGUGGUAAUCUCGACUGGUUUGAACCAGUUUUCCUCCGUCAUUGUGCCGCCGCCAUCGCAGCCCAAUCUCGGUUAAACAAGUGAGGUUUCUUACUCUUUUUCCGAGCUCUAGCUGCCUGUUGGGUAGGAUUGGAUUGAUUUUUUGUCUAGGAUCCCGAUUUUGAAACCUAAGUUUUGACGAAUUUCAAAGUGAAAUUCCGGCCGGUUGCCGUCCUAAUUAGACCUCCCCGUAGUUGAAUAAAGUGAUCCUCGCUUCGAGUAGUAGCUAAGGUAGGAAUGGUGAAUUGCGGUGUGGAGUUUUUCCAUCACUGAAAAUUACUCUACACAUCCACGCGUUGCCAGGGCAUGUGGAGGCGCAUGGGCAAUGUGGUGAGACCACAUUUUAUCCUGAUGUAGUCUCCUAGUCCUCACGUGCGCGUAAGUGUGCUCGAAUUUCAAUUCGAAUGUUGUUUGACUAUCGAACGGAUUUAUGCAUAUUGUUUCUUAUCCGGGUUCAAUAUGUUCGGACCAUUGGAUCGAGUCCAAAUUUACGUAUGUUAAUCUAGGCACCCCUAGGAUCAUGUGCGAAUUCGCGGAUCGUGAAUCGGAGCCCCGAAUGUUCCGAUUCAAUAAUUUGAAGUUUAUGGUUUGCGAUAACCGUCAAUUUCUGACCAAACCUACAGGACGUGUUUCCUAAACCCGUAGUCGGACCUUAGAAUACUCGUUAUGCGUGCACGCACCGGGAACUUGAGAAAAUUAGUAUUUAAUUUGUAAAUUCCGUUUUGAAGUGAUUUUUUAUUAAUUAAGGGUGCGUAUCUCGAAAUAGGUGCUCCAUCACUAGCACGCAGCAGGUAGGACCCUCUUGAGGUCAGGCAGUGUGGGACUACUUGUGAGUGGACAUUUAUUUUAUAUAUGCAUUAUUUUCAAUGAUUGAAAGAAUAUGCAUGAAAUAUAUAUAUUUUUUGGAAUAAAGAUUGAGAAAUUCAUAUGUUGUUAUAUCAGUAUUAUUUAAUUUAGAAUUUGGUUUGAUUUGAUGAUGAGUUAUAUAAAGGUCAAGUUAUUCGUGAUUAAGUCUUGGAUGAAUUUUGGGGGAAUCGGGAAUUGAAUAUUAUGGUUUAUGGUGGGAACUUAUAUGAUUACACUGUGUGGAGUACCAUCCCCUAGUUACUAGGCUUCCCACAUGUGGCGUUGGAAAUUUUCCAGCGUGUGAUGAUGUAGUCUGCACGCAUAGGACUUAGUAUUGGAGCUACACGUGGCGUUGGAAUUUCCGGCAUGUAAGCUAUGGAGUUUCGUCCCCCGGUUGGACCGCUCAUCCCUAGACGCAGGAUAGCAACUGAAAAUCUUGCGGGUUAGCCAAACAAUCCCCCGGUUGGAUUGUUUCCCCGGUACCUAAGUAGUGUGAUAAAUAUUAUGUAUAUUUAUAGAUAUAUAUAUUUCUAUGUGUGUGUGUGUGUGUGUGUGUGUGUGUGUGUGAGUAUAAAUCAGUUAAAGUAUAUGUAGUGGUUGGGUAAGAGCAGUAUAAAUUUUGGGGAUAAAGUUUAUGGAUAGAGUGAUUGAUCUCAAAGGGUUUCGGAGAAUGAUGUUUUUGAUCAUUAAAUAAAAGUUAUGAAUCUGCAUGUCUUGAGCAUUAUUUUUAGACGGUGGGGUUAUUAUGUUGUUUUGAAUGCAAAUUUUGUUUUUCCACUCACAUGUUUUCUGUUUUGCGCCCCCCAAACAGUAGUCGCUCAAGGGAGAGUUGCAAGCCAUGUUCGAGGCCCCGAACUGUGAACAUCAGUAGAUUAGGUUUCGAGUAAUUUCUUUCUACUCAACUGGAUGUUCUUGUAAACUAAAUUCGUUAGAUGCUCUAUUAUUGCCCCUGUUAGGUUUUACUUGUGAGGCCAGAGGCCAUUUAGUUUAUACUGUUGAAUAAUAAAUGCAUGCUGCUGGUUGGGAUUAUAUUGUGCUUAUGCAGGUUGAAAUUUUUGGGAUUGUUCAAUUUACAUGGGAGACUCUAGCAAAAUUUUAGUAGAGAGUCUCGGUUUUUAAUAAGUGGGCCAGGCAUCGGGGUAAUGUCGGAAAUAAGACUGGAUUCGUCCCGGUUUCCGAAGAAUUCGAGGCGGGUCCUGUCAAGUUCCUCCUAUUAACAAUAAUAAAUUAAAUAUUUAUAUAACUGAUAACAGUUCCUCAUAUUAACAAUAAUAAAUUAGUAUUUUGUAUAAUAAACAUGUUUAAUGAAAUUCAUCUUCUUCUAGCAUGUUUAUUUAAAUUCUAAGUUUUCUGAAGAAAAAAAAAAAAAAAAAGGAGAAGGAAAUGUCCUAAAUUAAAUCUUAAAAGUUCAUUUUUUUCUGUCCCUAUAUAUUUUUUACCCAAUUAUAAUUUGAGAAAAAAAGGUGAAUUAACUGUCAUUUCACCUUCAUCAUUUUCAUGAUUUAUAUAAGAUUCUUCAAAGAUCAUUUCCACAAAAAAUUACUUAAAUUCGAAUCCAUUUAACCGUCUAAUUAAAUCGUUAGGACCGUUGAAAUAAAAUUUAAAGUGAGUUUAAAGUGAGUCCUACUAUGUCUCCCUCAAAUAAGAUCAUUUACAGGAUCUGUCGAGUCAUAUGAGAAUGUUUAGCUUUUCGAUCCCAAGAGUUUGGUUCGAUUUUCAUAUAUAUAUAUAUAUAUAUAUAUAUAUAUACAAGUCAAUUUACUUUAAAAAGUUCACCAAAUUUUAUUUUUGGUCUCGGUAGUUUGCUUGAGGGCCUUUUUCUGUCAAUCUAUUUGUUGUGAUUGAAAGAUUUUAUAUAAAACAAAAGAUAUGUUUUUAUCUUAAAAAAUGCUUAUUUUCAGAUCUUUACAUAUAGACAUACAUAUGGCCUGAGAAUUCAAGCAAUAAAGACAUAAGCUGAUGAGCAUUCAUAAUCAUUAGAAUGAGUACUGAAUGGUCAACUCUUUCAAAAUACUUCGGAAAAAAACAAAGGACAAUACUUCCUUCCUUACUCAUAAGAAGGAACUCCUUCUCACCUUCUAUUGUCCCUCAACCACAAAGUAACAAGUGUUCUCUUUUUUUAAUUGUCAAUUUUUUUUUUUUCACUUUUACUGAACCCCUAGCUUUUUACCAAAGCAAAAAACACAAAACAAUAUUCCCAUUGUUUUUUUUUUUCAUUUUGAUUUUUUUCUCAACUUUUUGAAAAAUAACAUUUUUCCUUCUUCAGUAAAAAAUUGAAGUCUUUGUGGUUAAAAGCUAAGGUUUCAGUAAAGGUUUAAAAUAAAUAAAAAGUUUUGACAAUUCAAAAAACAGAACACAUAUCACUUUGUGGUUGAGCCGCAAUAGAAAGUAAGAAAGAAUUCCACCUUACCCAUAAGGAGGGAAGUAUUGUCAAAAAGAAAACAUCUUAAAAAACACACAGAAAACCCACCAUCACUACUUAAAAGAAGUAGAGAAGUCCAACAUUCUGAUUUUUAUACACCUACGUGACGUGAGCAUUCAAUAAUCAUCCUACACAUAUGUUGAUGUGAGCAUUCAAAAUCAUUAGAAUGAUUUAAUUGAAGACUCAACGUACGGACGUCUUUUUCACUUAGAUUCCCUUCCUGUACAAACUUGAAUCAGUUCCUCCACGACCCCAUCAAUCUCUUCAUCCUCUUUCUUGUUCACGUUGUCGCUUAUUUUCAAUGCCUUUUUUCUCACUCCCUCUCCAAAUUUCUCCACAACCACAUCUCUAAUCACCUUUGCGACCUCUUCUCUUUGCAAACUUCCUUCACCUGUUCUCUUAACCUCCACACCAACACCCACCUCCUCCACUAGUCUAGCGUUGAUCGGCUGGUCAAGAUGCAUAGGCAUGGCUAUAAUUGGAACACCAAACUUGAUGCUCUCCAACACUGAGUUCCAUCCGCAGUGACUCACAAACCCCCCAACACUAGAAUGCUGCAGUAUCUUUGCCUGUGGGGCCCAACCCUCCAUUAUCACUCCCUUCUCUCCCACCCUCUGUAAAAACCCUUCUGGUAACACCUCUUCAACCCUAGUACUUCUCUCCUCCUUAGAAAAUCUUAUAACCCAAAUGAAGCUCACUUUGCUAAGCUCUAAUCCGUGAGCUAUCUCUUCUAUUUGCUCCUUGGACAGAAAGUACUCACUGCCAAAGCAAACAUACACAACAGAAGACCUUUCCAUUUUGUUCAGCCAUUUCAUGAUCCAUGUUUCCUCAUCAACUUUUUGAUCCAUUGGCUCUUGAACAAGCGUGCCAACAGGCACGAUCUUCUUCCCCGUUAAAUCAGAGAGAUAAUCAAUAUAUUUUUCUUCAAUCUCGCUGGAUGUCUUGACCAAAAUGAUGUUACAAGAUCGAGCACUGCAUUGCUGAACACGGUCUCCGUCUUUGAUGCCAUUUGCUGAAGAUUCCAACAAAUUGUUGAACUUUUCAGCUUCGUAAUGUUGAAGAUAAAUCGAAGGAAAAGGAAACUUGACACUAGGGUUCUUGAGAUGUUGAAUACUAAAUGAAGUAAAGGCAGCACCCAUGGUGGUGAAUUCAAUGGAUGGAAAAUUUUGCAAUGAAGCUAGAGAGGGCGCCCAUGGUUGAAGAACAUCAUAUAUGAGCAAAUCUGGACUUAGGGUUUUGAGGAUGUUGGAGAAGUUGUUGCUGGACAUGCUGAAAGCCGUUUUGAGAGUGGACAUGAGAUGGGGAGGGAGGCCAUUGGUGGUGUGGUAGUGCGGUGGGAGUUCAGGCAAGUCAUCAUGUGGAAGAUGGAGUUCCACAAAUUCAAUGCAAUGAGAAUAUUUUUGGGAGAGUUUAGGCUUGAUGGAGCUGAGAUUUACAGGCGUGGAACAAAUAAAGAUGUGAAAAUUUCUCUUGGUGGUCAGCUUCUUGGCUAGCUCUAGGUAGGGAGAUAUAUGGCCGUGAGCUAGCCAUGGAAGCAAAAGAAUAGUAAGGCUUCUUUGGUCAGAGAAAACCAUAUUUUGUUUUCCUUUGACUUGUUUUCCUUUGACUCUUUUGCUUGAGGUUGCUCGAUUAUAGGCUUAUUGGUAGUUUGUUUGUGGCUAGCUCUAUGCAUAUAUAUAUAUAUAUAUAUAUAUAUAUAUAUAUAUAUAUACACACACAAAAACGCGUGAUGAUUGGAACAUGCACACGUAAGUUCCAGAGAGUGAUGAUUGGCCUAUGAUAAAGACUCGAAACAAGAAUAGUUUAAAUUUUCUUCUUUGUUUGGCUUGAUAUAAGACGAAUGCACCAAACAAACCGACUAAAUGCCGACACAAUAAUUAGGUACGUAAUAAUAUCAACUUUCAUUAUAUAGAUCUGAGAAACAAAAAGUUGAACUUUGAUGACAAGCGAUAUUAAGGAAGGGCACAAUCGAACUUAGGAUCUCGAAUGUUGAAGUACAUGCUCUUAACAACUUGAGCUAUAAGGUAUUUGUAAUGACAAUUUAUGGUUUUAAUUAUACUUUUGAAUAGUUGCUUCCUUCUCUUUCAUUUUUAUUUUUAUUUGUUUAUAUUUAACUCUAAUUUUAUUUAUAUUUCUGGUCAAGGUAUAAAGACUUUGAAUCUCUCUCCAAUUAUUUUUCACAGCCGAAACUCCUUUAGUUUCCACAAAUCUUUUUAAACAUUUCAGGCAUAUGUAUGUUUCCGAGUCGGAUGGUUCACGUAACCAAGAAAUUUAAACUUGUUUUUGUUUGUUCCUCCGAAGAAAGCACAACAAAAGGACAACCUACAACCAAUACUUCUCAUUGAAUUUGUUGCCGUGAAUGAUUAGGACUCUGCCCAAACUAGUAGUUGCGUUUCUGAAUUGUUUGAAAACACAUAUCAAAUUAUGAUUUCUCCUCCCCGAAAGAAAAAUUGACGUAGAAGUAUCAUGAUCUUGAUGACACAAAUUAGAAUCUAGGGUUUUCGAAGUGCCUAAUGGACAACUACUUAUUUAGAAAUAUAUAUAUUUUUGUGGCUAAAAUUUAAAUUUAUUAUAUAUAUUCUCAAUGCAGAAACACAUAAAUCUAAGUUCGAAUUCAUCCUUUUUUUGUUUUUUUUUUUUUGUUUUUUUAACCCAGAAGAAAAAUUGAGUCCCACUCUGCUGUGUAGAAUGCGCGUUUAGUAUAGAUUUUUUUAUUUUUGAGUCUCUUAUCUGGUUCCCGAGCUUCUACAUUUAGGUCUCGUGUAUUUAUCUGCAUUUUCUUAAAUCUAAAUCACUCAAACAAUCUAACCACUUAACAAAUGACACGUACUCAAACUUAAAAUCAGAAUGGAUGGAGUAGAGGCUUACACCGAUGAUUCUUGGUCAAGACUUGAGAGACAGAUGGAGACGAGGCAUGACAUAAAGUCUGAAGAAGAGAAACGAGGAAGCUUCAUUUAGAUGGUGGUGUAAGUGCAUACGUAAAGUCCAGAUUCAACAGGAAAGCAUCUUAAACGUAAAGAAAAUAAGUUUACCAGAAGCAAAAGAGAUACUGAAGUAAUUGUUUAUCAACUGAACUUAAACGAAAUAUUAACUCUUUGUUGUGCCAUAAGCACAAGAUCUUAUGAAAAAAAAUUCAAGAUAAACCAUAUAAUAUUGGGAGAUUCACGUUUAUACCGAAUAUAGGAAUUCAAAUUAUAAAAUAAAUAAAUAAAUAAAAUAAUCGAUAUGAAAUGGACUUUAGAAACACACACAAAGCCUAUUUACAACAUAACAAAAAGGUUUUUCCCUUCUUUUAAAUUACAAAACUGCCAUUGAUUUCUUAAAACAAACCCAACUCCAAAACCUCAUUAAAAAAGCACAAAACACUCAAUAGGGUGUCAAAGUAAUUUAAUAAUAAAAAAUAAAUUCAAUAAGGCCAAUUGAAUUUUUUGGAUUUUUUUUUGGGUUUGUUUAUAGAAAUUAAUGGUGUAGGGUUUAUCUAUAUUAUUGGUGUUAAGAAUGAAUAAUGACUAAAUAUCUCUAUAAUAUUUUCUAACUCACAAAAUAAUAUAGAAAAUAAAUGCAAGAACAAGAAAAUAGCAAUAUGCAAUUUAACGAAGCUGCUUACAAUCAGUGCAAAUGAGCAAACAAAUUCGCUAUUAAUUUAUGAAGUGUUUUUGUAUUUACAAUACCGCCUCUUGAAUGUCCACCAUACAAUAAUAUAGUUGCAUCAUUAAAAACUUUACUUGAAAAAUCGUUUGGGACAAAACUUAAGCUAAGAGAAAAAGAGUGCAACACAAAUGAUAUUGACAUCACAUAUGUCUCUCCUACAGAGUGAGCUUUGGUGAUGCUUGUAUAAAAAUUGCUUUCACAUCAUUAUUGGGAGAUGUAUGUAUGUCAUCAAUCAUUUGAAUCUUGUUGAGGUUAAAGUAAAACCAAAAAAAUAUCAAGGGCCAUUUUCAUAUAGUUUUUCACAAUAAAAAUUAACAAAAUAACUUCAUGUUCUUUAAUAUCAUCAAAAAAAUAAUAUAAACAAACUCAUAGUUUACCUUUUCAAUGAUAAGUGUUUGGAAAAUUUACAUGGAAUAAUAUUUGGUAUGCUAUGCUAGCAUCUCAUAAGCUCUUCAAGAGACCUAAAUUUUAUGAUAACUUCUUAAAAAAAUUUGAAUACUUUUCAACAAUAUUAAACUUGAAUUCAAACUCAUAAUUCAAUCAAAGUACUCAUUGAGGCAAUUUAGAUCAUUUUCAUUUUAAGAAAAUUGGGUGCAUACAUUGAGCUUCAUGCCCUUUACCUUCUUAGAGAUUUUCUUCGAGCAAUUUAUAUUGCAUGACAGAUUAUAUCUCUUAGAAUUUGUUCUUAUGUAUUCUUCAAGAGAUCUCUUCUUGCAAUAUGCUUCAAACACUUCAUAAUCUUUAUAGAUUUUUCAUGUAGAUUUAAGGUCUCCAUGAAUAUUGAGAUUGAAACAAGGAGUAAAAUAAAAGUUUAAGAAAAAUUUUCCCUGAUUAUUUUGUAAUUAUAAUGUUGGUGAAAACCUAAUUUCCUUUCUGAAAUUUGUGAAAUUUGUUAUUUGGCUAAGCUAAAAGUAUAAUAUUGACAAUAAAACGUAUACGAAAGUUUCUCUUUGGCUGGCUUCUUGGCUGGCUCUAGGAAGGGACAUUGCGGCCAUGAGAUAACCAUAGGAAGCAUAAUAAGAAUGCUUGGAUGCUCUGAACAAUCCAUUUUCUGACUCUUUUUCUUGAGGCGGUUGUUUUCUUAGGCCCAUCAGAGUUUAUGGUCGACAGAUAAGCUUCAAACACAUGCAUUGGUCGUGUCAGUUGCGAUAAACUCUUCCCAACAAUCUGAGACUCACAUCACUCCAAACACAUAAAAAGAAGUGGAAAUUUGCUAUUCUUUGUCUUUGUUUGGACAGCUAAUAGCAAAGCAUUGGAAACAUCGAAAAAAGAAAGUUAAUUAAUUUAAGAAAAACAAAGAAAUCCUUCUUUUUUUUUCUUUUUUUUUUCAGCAAACCGAAACAUAAAAUCCGAAAAAGAAGAAGGCAUGUCCAAAAUUACAUCUUGAAUUUAUUUUGGAGAUUCACUAUUAUACUCAAAUUAUAUAUGAAAUAAAUUUUAGAAACACACAUGACGCCAAUUUACAAUAUAACAAAAAAACUUUUAACUUCUUGUAAAUUACAAAAUUGUUAUCGAUUUCUUAAAACAAGCCUAAUCCUAAAACCUCAUAAAAAAAAAAUCAAAACACUCAAUAAGGCAUCAAAGUAAUUUAAUAAUUAAAAUUAAAUUUAAUAGGGUCAUCUGUCAUUUUUUGGAUUUUUUUCGAAGUUGUUUAUAAAAAUUAAAAUAAUGUAUAGUUUGUUUAUAAAAAUUAAAUGAUGUAGAGUUUCUUUAUAUAAUUAAUGUUAAUAAUGAGUAUAUGAAUAAAUGUCACUUUUCUUUAUUAACCAUUUAUAAUAUAUGAACUCAAGACUUCCUAUCGAACACCGAAUGGUCUUUCCAUUCCUUGUUAAUUCAAAGUCUGAAAAUGUUCGGUGUCAGCUCAUGAAUUUAAAGGCUUAAAGGCUCAAAACUUGAACGAAUAUGAAAGAAAAAAGUCGUUCACCGUUCAUCCUCUUCCUGCAGCUGUGCAUGCUAAUCACCCACUGAAUUAAACAUACAAAUACGCUUUAUGUUUUCUCAAAUUGUUCUUUGAACUAAGUAGAGGUUGGAAUACACUCGGGGUCAACAUUGUUCAAAUACAAAACACUUCUUAAUUUUAUAUUUUAUCAAAACAGAUCGAAACUUCAUUCAAACUGAGAACCUAGAUUACAAAACUACCAGAAAAACUGGAAUCUGCACUGUGGCCUCAUUAAAACCUUGCUUUAAAAAACUCCUAAAAGAGGAGAAUUCAGUCAAGAAAAAAGAGUACCACAGCAAGUGAAAUCCGAUAUCAUACUUCAUUCCUUUCUCAUACAAAGUUGAAUCAACUGCUCUACCACCCCAUCUAUCUCUUCAUCCUCUCUCUUUUUCAUGUUGUCUCUCAAUUCCAUUGCCUUUCUUUUCAAACCCUGUCCAUUUUCUUCCACCACCACAUCUCUGAUUACUUUUGCUAUCUCGUCCCUUUUCAGCCUCCCGUUCUCGUUGCCGCCUCCUCCCAUUCUCUUAACCUCCACACCAACUCCAACGUCCUCUACUAUUCUAGCGUUAAUAGGCUGGUCAAGAUGCAUAGGCAUGGCUACAAUUGGAACGCCAAACUUGAUGCUCUCCAACACUGAGCUCCAUCCACAGUGGCUCACAAACCCACCAGCACUAGAAUGCUUCAAUACUUUUGCCUGUGGAGCCCAACCAUCCACUAUUAUUCCCUUCUCCCCCACCCUCUCAAAAAACCCUUCUGGUAAUACCUCUUCAACCCUAGUACCUUUCUCUUCCUUAGGAAAUCUUAUAACCCAAAUAAAACUCACUUUGCUAAUCUCUAGCCCAUGAGCUAUCUCUUCUAUUUCCUCCUUGGAUAAAAAGUACUCACUGCCGAAGGAAACAUACACCACCGAAGAUCUUUCUCUAGUGUUUAGCCACUUCAUGAUUUUUGUUUCCUCCGAAUCCACUUCUUGCUCUAUAAGGUCUUGAACAAGUGAACCAACAGGCACAAUCUUCUUCCCAAUUAGAUCAGAGAGAUAAUCAAUAUAUUUUGCUUCAAUCUCUCUAGAACUCUUAACUAAUACGAUCUUACAAGAACGAUCGCUGCACUGCUUAGCACGGUCUCCAUCACUGAUGCCAUUUGAUGAAGAUUCUAACAACAUCUUGAUCUUACUAGUCUCGUAAUAGAUUGAAGGAAACGGAAAUUUGACACCAGGUUUCUCGCCAUGGUGGGUACAAACUGACAUCAUGGCAGCACUGGUUGUGAAGAACUCGAUGGCUGGAAUGUUUUGUAACAAAGCUAGAGAGGGUGCCCAUGGUUGAAGAAAAUCAUAAAUUAGCAAAUCCGGGUGUAGGGUUUUGAGGAUGUUGGAGAAGUUAGGGCUUGCCCUGUCGAAGGCGGUUUUGAGAGUGGACAUGAGGUGGGGUGGGAGGCCAUUGGUAGUGUGGUAAUGAGGUGGGAGUUCAGGCAAGUCGUCAUAUGGAAGAUGUAGUUGCACGAGUUCAAUGCAACGAGAGUAUUUUUCAGAGAGUUGUGGCUUGAUGGAUCUGAGAUUUACAGGUGUGGAACAAAAAUAGAUGUGAAAAUUUCUGUUGGUCAGCUUCUUUGCUAGCUCUAGGUAGGGAGAUAUGU
RNAcentral lists this long non-coding RNA (39142 nucleotides) under Prunus persica (peach). RNAcentral's name for it is "long non-coding RNA (PPER_LNC002427)". The record is from RNAcentral. Lineage: Eukaryota; Viridiplantae; Streptophyta; Magnoliopsida; Rosales; Rosaceae.